Long non-coding RNA from Mirounga angustirostris (Northern elephant seal), 1262 nucleotides. RefSeq lists it as uncharacterized. The transcript is spliced from 3 exons. The record is from RefSeq and is a predicted model, not a curated record. NCBI's taxonomy places the organism in Eukaryota, Metazoa, Chordata, Mammalia, Carnivora, Phocidae.
GGUCGUGGGGUCCACUUUACAAUUCCAGCCACAAAGGGGACGGGCCAGCGACGGCCUUCACAGCAAGGACUCUGAGAGCGAUUCUCAAACGGCCGCCCAUCACGGAUCAAUGGUAGCUGGCGGUGAACACCGUUCUCUGGCCCAGCUCCCGCCCCAGACACUGACUCUAAAACAGCAUUUCCGAGUCCUCUCAACGGACUAAAGCCAAGCUCUCCAUCAGAUGGCACGGCCCGGAGGACGUCAAGAUUUCUGCCCACGGUCUAAGCAUGGUCAAAGGCCUCUUACUGGCCCUGCAAAGCCGAGGCGCAAGUCAGGUCCCCAGGGCCUCACGCCUUCUCUCAGGAAGGAAUCUUCCCCGGAGAGGGGCAAUUCCCACAGUCAUCCCCGAACCCACCAGACCUGCCUGACCUUCUGCAGCACCUCCCCCAGAACUGGCACCCCCUCCCUGCACUGUCUGGACUGAUAACACCGUACGUAGCCCAUGGGAGGAAGUCUGGCCACAGCGACGACGCAUGCCUUGCCCCCCACUUCUGGCAGCUCCCUGAUGGAAUAAGGUGAUGGCAAACCUCUAAAGGAAAAAUCAUAGCUGCAUAUAACACAGUCUCAGAACCCACUCUUAGCAACAUGGACUUUAGAAAUGAGAGCUUUCUGCUAGGUGAAAAUUUCGUCUCUCAAUUUGAAAGCAUGGCCCCACAUGUACAGUUUUAACUUUUAAUUUGUUUUUAUUAGACAAAAAUUAUAAAACUUCUCAUACAACUUGUGGCCCCCAGAAAAAUCUUCCUCAGGUCCCAAUUUGAGAAACCCUGGACUGGCGGAUGAAGCCAGUGCUCCUCGCGACCCUCAAGGAUGGAGCUCCCACCUUGUUGCACCACACUGUCGGGGUUUCCAGGAGCUUCGAGUCUGGGUGCUGCCCCCUCCUCCAGCUUAGUUCUGGCUGGUUUACUAAGCACUUUCUGUGGAUUUCCCCAUGUUCUCCUCCCGACCUAGGAGGGAGUUAGGAUCACUGGUUCCACCUCACGGAAAGAAAAUUGGGGGCUUGGGGGGCACGGCAUGGUUAGUAAGCCAUGGACCCAGUAUGGGACUCCGCAGCUGGACCACGCUGUUCCUGUUUUACUGCUCAUAUGUGUUGAGGAGUUUGCCGAAGGAGGGCAGGGUCAGACUCAUCUUAUUGAUUAACUGACUGGAGAUGGGGUUGCCUUCAUUUUUAACAGCUUUCCUGGGAGUCUAAUCGAUGAAUAAACGCAUCGUUAAACGGUACAAUU